AGAACGUAGGUCAUUAAUCGGAUUCAAUACAUAUUAAAUAUUUGAAAUAUUAUAGGUAUUAUGCUGUAAAUAAUUAUCACGAUUACAGCGUGAUAGUGAUGAUACGGUAUACCUGAUAGGUAUCUAUUAUCUAUGUAUUUGCUAAAUAAAUUUUUUGUUUCACUUAUAGAGUAUACAGAGGCGUCAUAUCAAAUUAUGAAGAGUACUAUAAAUAAUAUGAAGUAAAACAUGUCGGACUUUGUUUACAAUAACUGACUGUGUAGAUGAAAAACAGCGCUAAUAUCAGUAGUAUUAUUUUGUUUAUAAUUAAUAGGUACUUAGUUAAGUAUUACUUAUUAUUAACGAAUAAACUUUAUUUUAUUUACUGUAGUUGAAAGAAGGUGACUGUUGUUCCUAAGUUCUAGACAUAAAUAAUCUAUUCCAUUCGUCAAUGUAUAGCUUUAAAAUAAAUAAUUAUUUGAACAUAUUUGAAAUCCGUUAAAACAUAUAUUUUAAUAUAAAAAUGUU
This is a non-coding RNA of Cinara cedri, 507 nucleotides long. NCBI's taxonomy places the organism in Eukaryota, Metazoa, Arthropoda, Insecta, Hemiptera, Aphididae. The record is from the annotation of a GenBank genome assembly.